Molecule: non-coding RNA, 72 nt
Organism: Ictidomys tridecemlineatus (thirteen-lined ground squirrel)
Lineage: Eukaryota; Metazoa; Chordata; Mammalia; Rodentia; Sciuridae
Source: Rfam
UGGGGUGUAGCUCAGGAGGAGAGCACUUGCCUUGCAUAUGUGAGGCACUGGGUUCGAUUCUCAGCACCACAU